CAGGGGAUGACUUGUGGAUAGGGGUGAAAGGCUAAUCAAGCCUGGUGAUAGCUGGUUCUCCCCGAAAGCUAUUUAGGUAGCGCCUCGGACGAAUACCAUAGGGGGUAGAGCACUGUUUCGGCUAGGGGGUCAUCCCGACUUACCAAACCGAUGCAAACUCCGAAUACCUAUGAGUACUAUCCGGGAGACAGACUGCGGGUGCUAACGUCCGUAGUCAAGAGGAAAACAAUCCAGACCGCCAGCUAAGGCCCCAAAAUCAUAGUUAAGUGGGAAACGAUGUGGGAAGGCAUAGACAGCUAGGAGGUUGGCUUAGAAGCAGCCACCCUUUAAAGAAAGCGUAAUAGCUCACUAGUCGAGUCGGCCUGCGCGGAAGAUGUAACGGGGCUAAAACUAUGUGCCGAAGCUGCGGACGUAUACUUUGUAUACGUGGUAGGGGAGCGUUCUGUAAGCCGAUGAAGGUGUGUUGAGAAGCAUGCUGGAGGUAUCAGAAGUGCGAAUGCUGACGUGAGUAACGACAAAACGGGUGAAAAACCCGUUCGCCGAAAGACCAAGGGUUCCAGUCCAACGUUAAUCGGGGCUGGGUGAGUCGACCCCUAAGGCGAGGCCGAAAGGCGUAGUCGAUGGGAAAAUGGUUAAUAUUCCAUUACUUCUGUGUAAUGCGAUGAGAGGACGGAGAAGGCUAAAUCAGCCUGGCGUUGGUUGUCCAGGUGAAAGGAUGUAGGCAUGUAUCUUAGGCAAAUCCGGGGUACUCUAUGCUGAGAUCUGAUAGCAAGCUGUACUUGUACAGCGAAGUGGUUGAUGCCAUGCUUCCAGGAAAAGUCUCUAAGCUUCAGUUACACAGGAAUCGUACCCGAAACCGACACAGGUGGUCAGGUCGAGUAGACCAAGGCGCUUGAGAGAACUCUGCUGAAGGAACUAGGCAAAAUGGUACCGUAACUUCGGGAGAAGGUACGCUGUUGUUGGUGAUGGAACUCGCUUCCUGAGCUGACGACAGCCGCAGAAACCAGGCCGCUGCAACUGUUUAUUAAAAACAUAGCACUCUGCAAACACGAAAGUGGACGUAUAGGGUGUGAUGCCUGCCCGGUGCUGGAAGGUUAAUUGAUGGGGUUAGCGUAAGCGAAGCUCUUGAUCGAAGCCCCAGUAAACGGCGGCCGUAACUAUAACGGUCCUAAGGUAGCGAAAUUCCUUGUCGGGUAAGUUCCGACCUGCACGAAUGGCAUAAUGAUGGCGGCGCUGUCUCCAGCAGAGGCUCAGUGAAAUCGAAAUCGCUGUGAAGAUGCAGUGUACCCGCGGCUAGACGGAAAGACCCCGUGAACCUUUACUGCAGCUUGACACUGAACUUUGACCUUACUUGUGUAGGAUAGGUGGGAGGCUUUGAAGCUGGAACGCUAGUUCCAGUGGAGCCGUCCUUGAAAUACCACCCUGGUAAUGUUGAGGUUCUAACUCUGUCCCGUGAUCCGGGACGAGGACCGUGUCUGGUGGGUAGUUUGACUGGGGCGGUCUCCUCCUAAAGAGUAACGGAGGAGUACGAAGGUGCGCUCAGCGUGGUCGGAAAUCACGCGUAGAGUAUAAAGGCAAAAGCGCGCUUAACUGCGAGACCCACAAGUCGAGCAGGUACGAAAGUAGGUCUUAGUGAUCCGGUGGUUCUGUAUGGAAGGGCCAUCGCUCAACGGAUAAAAGGUACUCUGGGGAUAACAGGCUGAUACCGCCCAAGAGUUCAUAUCGACGGCGGUGUUUGGCACCUCGAUGUCGGCUCAUCUCAUCCUGGGGCUGAAGCAGGUCCCAAGGGUAUGGCUGUUCGCCAUUUAAAGAGGUACGCGAGCUGGGUUUAGAACGUCGUGAGACAGUUCGGUCCCUAUCUACCGUGGGCGCUGGAAAUUUGAGAGGAUCUGCUCCUAGUACGAGAGGACCAGAGUGGACGAACCUCUGGUGUACCGGUUGUGACGCCAGUCGCAUCGCCGGGUAGCUAUGUUCGGAAGGGAUAACCGCUGAAAGCAUCUAAGCGGGAAGCCUACCUCAAGAUAAGAUUUCCCUAGGACUUUAUGUCCUCUAAAGAGCCGUUCGAGACUAGGACGUUGAUAGGUUGGAUGUGGAAGCAUAGUGAUAUGUGAAGCUGACCAAUACUAAUUGCUCGUGAGGCUUG
This 2143-nucleotide ribosomal RNA is filed under the name Hoyosella rhizosphaerae. RNAcentral describes it as "partial 23S ribosomal RNA". It matches the Rfam family "Bacterial large subunit ribosomal RNA", at positions 798 to 2925 of the family's 2925-position model. Lineage: Bacteria; Bacillati; Actinomycetota; Actinomycetes; Mycobacteriales; Hoyosellaceae. The record is from RNAcentral.